AACGAACGCUGGCGGCGUGCUUAACACAUGCAAGUCGAACGCGAAAGGGACUUCGGUCCUGAGUAAAGUGGCGAACGGGUGAGUAACGCGUGGGUAACCUGCCCCUGAAUCUGGAAUAACUUCGCGAAAGCGAGGCUAAUACCGGAUAUUGUCCCAGGGACCGUGGUCCUUGUGAUGAAAGGUGACCUCUUCAAGAAAGUUGUCGUUCAGGGAGGGGCCCGCGUACCAUUAGCUAGUUGGUAGGGUAAUGGCCUACCAAGGCGAUGAUGGUUAGCUGGUCUGAGAGGAUGACCAGCCACACUGGCACUGAAACACGGGCCAGACUCCUACGGGAGGCAG
RNAcentral lists this ribosomal RNA (339 nucleotides) under uncultured Pseudomonadota bacterium. Its description in RNAcentral is "bacterial SSU rRNA". It matches the Rfam family "Bacterial small subunit ribosomal RNA", at positions 29 to 351 of the family's 1533-position model. The record is from RNAcentral. Lineage: Bacteria; Pseudomonadati; Pseudomonadota.